GACGAACGCUGGCGGCGUGCCUAAUACAUGCCAGUAGAACGCUGAAGAGAGGAGCUUGCUCUUCUUGGAUGAGUUGCGAACGGGUGAGUAACGCGUAGGUAACCUGCCUUGUAGCGGGGGAUAACUAUUGGAAACGAUAGCUAAUACCGCAUAACAAUGGAUGACACAUGUCAUUUAUUUGAAAGGGGCAAUUGCUCCACUACAAGAUGGACCUGCGUUGUAUUAGCUAGUAGGUGAGGUAAUGGCUCAACUAGGCGACGAUACCUAGCCGACCUGAGAGGGGGAUCGGCCACACUGGGACUGAGACACGGCCCAGGCUCCUACGGGAGGCAGCAGUAGGGAAUCUUCGGCAAUGGGGGCAACCCUGAACGAGCAACGCCGCGUGAGUGAAGAAGGGUUUCGGAUCGUAAAGCUCUGUUGUAAGUCAAGAACGGGUGUGAGAGUGGAAAGUUCACACUGUGACGGUAGCUUACCAGAAAGGGACGGCUAACUACGUG
RNAcentral lists this ribosomal RNA (497 nucleotides) under uncultured bacterium. Its description in RNAcentral is "partial 16S ribosomal RNA". It matches the Rfam family "Bacterial small subunit ribosomal RNA", at positions 28 to 507 of the family's 1533-position model. The record is from RNAcentral.